Molecule: ribosomal RNA, 36 nt
Filed under: Nigrospora oryzae
Lineage: Eukaryota; Fungi; Ascomycota; Sordariomycetes; Amphisphaeriales; Apiosporaceae
Description: 5.8S ribosomal RNA
Source: RNAcentral
UUAGUAUUCUAGUGGGCAUGCCUGUUCGAGCGUCAU